This is a long non-coding RNA of Corticium candelabrum, 402 nucleotides long. RefSeq lists it as uncharacterized. The transcript is spliced from 3 exons. Lineage: Eukaryota; Metazoa; Porifera; Homoscleromorpha; Homosclerophorida; Plakinidae. The record is from RefSeq and is a predicted model, not a curated record.
ACGUCCAAGUAAGUCAAAACCCGUAUAUCCGGGAGCUUUGAUUGGUGACUCGACGGUGACAAGAUGUUGCACCGUAAGAGUGCUUUGGAGAUAUUUCGAAUGGCAGUUUAUGUAUUUUUUCCGAUUGGAGUCUUCUACACAGCCACUCAUCCGGACAUGUUCUUGCAGCGACAAGUAGAGAAAGAGAGGAAAGAAUAUGCGGCUGAAUACUAUGAAACAAAUGUGGAAAGGUUAAAAAACUUGGCACAGUUGAAGAAAGAUGUCAGCAACAGGUCACAAAAAUGAAGAAUGGAAAUUGAACAAUAAUGGUCAGAAGCACCCUAUAACUUGUACGAUACUACUAUCAAGAGUUCAUGACAUUGGUGUGUAUACUAAAUAGUUUUAUUAAUAAUGUGAACCUCA